AGCGAACGCUGGCGGCAGGCCUAACACAUGCAAGUCGAACGCCCAGCAAUGGGAGUGGCAGACGGGAUAGUAACACGUGGGAACGCGCCCUUCGGUUCGGAAUAACUCAGGGAAACUUGAGCUAAUACCGGAUACGCCCUUACGGGGAAAGAUUUAUUGCCGAAGGAACGGCCCGCGUCGGAUUAGCUAGUUGGUGAGGUAAUGGCUCACCAAGGCGACGAUCCGUAGCUGGUCUGAGAGGAUGACCAGCAUCACUGGGACUGAGACACGGCCCAGACUCCUACGGGAGGCAGCAGUGGGGAAUAUUGGACAAUGGGCGAAAGCCUGAUCCAGCAAUGCCGCGUGAGUGAUGAAGGCCUUAGGGUUGUAAAGCUCUUUUACCAGGGAUGAUAAUGACAGUACCU
This 404-nucleotide ribosomal RNA is filed under the name uncultured bacterium. RNAcentral's name for it is "bacterial SSU rRNA". It matches the Rfam family "Bacterial small subunit ribosomal RNA", at positions 29 to 480 of the family's 1533-position model. The record is from RNAcentral.